Molecule: ribosomal RNA, 253 nt
Filed under: uncultured bacterium
Lineage: Bacteria
Description: partial 16S ribosomal RNA
Rfam family: Bacterial small subunit ribosomal RNA
Source: RNAcentral
UACGGGGGGGGCAAGCGUUGUUCGGAAUUAUUGGGCGUAAAGGGCGCGUAGGCGGUGCGGUAAGUCACCUGUGAAACCUCUGGGCUCAACUCAGAGCCUGCAGGCGAAACUGCCGUGCUGGAGUAUGGGAGGGGUGCGUGGAAUUCCCGGUGUAGCGGUGAAAUGCGUAGAUAUCUGGAGGAACACCGGUGGCGAAGGCGGCAUCCUGGACCGACACUGACGCUGAGGCGCGAAAGCUAGGGUAGCAAACGGG